ACCAAUCUACAUUGGUUGAUGCUAUGGUCUAGUAGCGGAAUCCGGUAAGCUAGAAAAGAAAAAGGUUCGGCGCAACCUCGUUGGAGCAAGAAGCUUGGAGGGCUUAGGUACAUCGGGUAGAUUAGGCUUGGAGGGUCUAUUGCUGUUCAUGUAUCCCAACUACAUUUUCUAGUGGAUUAUUGACCACUUGGAGGGCGGCGGAGAGGUUUUACGCCGAGGGCUUCGGUUUCCUCUUCGAUAACACAUCGUGUGUUGUCCUUGUGUUUGCAUCUCUCUUCCCUUUAUCUUUGCCUUUUAUUUUCUGCUAUGGAUGUGAUUUAUAAUUGGCUUAGAUUGAUUUCCAAUUCUGUUUAUAGCUUAUGUUAAGUUUCCGCA
Quercus robur (English oak) is the source of this 375-nucleotide long non-coding RNA. RefSeq lists it as uncharacterized. The transcript has 2 exons. NCBI's taxonomy places the organism in Eukaryota, Viridiplantae, Streptophyta, Magnoliopsida, Fagales, Fagaceae. The record is from RefSeq and is a predicted model, not a curated record.